This 73-nucleotide transfer RNA is filed under the name mine drainage metagenome. RNAcentral describes it as "tRNA-Gln". It matches the Rfam family "tRNA". Rfam says of the family: Transfer RNA (tRNA) molecules are approximately 80 nucleotides in length. Their secondary structure includes four short double-helical elements and three loops (D, anti-codon, and T loops). The record is from RNAcentral.
AGUCCCAUCGUCUAGUGGUCAAGGACGACAGGCUCUGGACCUGUAAACCCCAGUCCGAAUCUGGGUGGGACUA